AUACGGAGGGUGCGAGCGUUGUUGGGAAUUACUGGGCGUAAAGGGCGCGUAGGCUGUUUAUCAAGUCGGGUGUGAAAGUCCACGGCUCAACCGUGGAAGUGCAUCCGAAACUGAUAGACUUGAGUACUGGAGAGGAAAGUGGAAUUCCUGGUGUAGAGGUGAAAUUCGUAGAGAUCAGGAGGAACACCGGUGGCGAAGGCGACUUUCUGGACAGAUACUGACGCUGAGGCGCGAAAGCGUGGGGAGCAAACAGGAUUAGAAACCCCUGUAGUCC
Molecule: ribosomal RNA, 274 nt
Filed under: uncultured bacterium
Lineage: Bacteria
Description: partial 16S ribosomal RNA
Rfam family: Bacterial small subunit ribosomal RNA
Source: RNAcentral